RNAcentral lists this ribosomal RNA (460 nucleotides) under uncultured bacterium. Its description in RNAcentral is "partial 16S ribosomal RNA". It matches the Rfam family "Bacterial small subunit ribosomal RNA", at positions 338 to 795 of the family's 1533-position model. The record is from RNAcentral.
CCUACGGGGGACUGCAGUGAGGAAUAUUGGUCAAUGGGCGCGCGCCUGAACCAGCCAAGUAGCGUGAAGGAUGACUGCCCUACGGGUUGUAAACUUCUUUUAUAAAGGAAUAAAGUGCGGCACGUGUGCCUUUUUGUAUGUACUUUCUGUAUAAGGAUCGGCUAACGCAGUGCCAGCAGCCGCGGUAAUACGGAGGAUCCGAGCGUUAUCCGGAUUUAUUGGGUUUAAAGGGAGCGUAGAUGGGUUGUUAAGUCAGUUGUGAAAGUUUGCGGCUCAACCGUAAAAUUGCAAUUUAUACUGGCAGCGUCGAGUACAGUUGAGGUAGGCGGAAUUCGGGGUGUAGCGGUGAAAUGCUUAGAUAUCACGAAGAACUCCGAUUGCGAAGGCAGCUUACUAAACUGCCACUGACAUUGAUGCUCGAAAGUGUGGGUAUCAAACAGGAUUAGAUACCCUUGUAGUC